CUUCCUUCGUUUCUUUUUCUUUCCCACGUGACCCGGCGCUAGCGGUACACGUGUCUCCCCUCCCCCUCCCCUCCCCCGGGUGGAGUGCACGGAGGGGGCGGGCGCCGUGGAAUGUCUUUGUCUGCGCUCGGGCCCGCGGAGUGUGCGGCAGGAGACCUGUUAUUCGUGCGCCACGCCUCCUUCAACCGCCGAGCCUGGGGAGGUCCCCGAGGGAGCCGUGCCGCGGAGUGGAAUCGGGGGCCGCCCCUCCAACCGGGAAAUGAAAAGAACGCUUCUGGAGAGAGGGGGACGCGAGGAACUGAAACUUAGAAGGGGUCGAAGGGGUCAGUCCGAGACGCAAAGACCGGAAGAAAAGGGCUUCCUCCAUACCCAAGUAGGGCAUCCAGGAAGUCAGUCGGCAAGAUUUCCAUUGGAGCAGGUUCAAAACUGAAAGCCUCAGAACACAAAAAGGCGCCAAAAAAUCCAGUCCCGAAUUCCUGACUACUAAUCCUCAUCUUUAGUCACCAGCCACCCAAGCCCUACCCUCUCCCUAGAUGACCAUACCUGGGCACAAGCUCAGCUUGUGGUAGACAGGUCAUUUUCUUCGCCUACAAUCUAUCAAAAAAACGUACCAGCCAUACUCUGGCCCCGACCUCUGAGGCUGGUGGACACACCCUGGAACCCAUUUCCAAAUAAACAUGCUUCCCCACCCCACGUCUUGAAUUGGCUUAUUUCGUUGGGGGUGGAGGGGACGAUUAUCAACCUGAGUUCUAGCCCCAGGCCCAAAAUAGAAGGAGAGAACCAGCUCUCCCAAGUUUUCUGAC
Mus caroli (Ryukyu mouse) is the source of this 803-nucleotide non-coding RNA. The record is from RefSeq and is a predicted model, not a curated record. NCBI's taxonomy places the organism in Eukaryota, Metazoa, Chordata, Mammalia, Rodentia, Muridae.